CCUACGGGUGGCAGCAGUCGAGAAUCAUUCACAAUGGGGGAAACCCUGAUGGUGCGACGCCGCGUGGGGGAAUGAAGGUCUUCGGAUUGUAAACCCCUGUCAUGUGGGAGCAAAUUAAAAAGAUAGUACCACAAGAGGAAGAGACGGCUAACUCUGUGCCAGCAGCCGCGGUAAUACAGCGGUCUCAAGCGUUGUUCGGAAUCACUGGGCGUAAAGGGUGCGUUGGCUGUUUCGUAAGUCGUGUGUGAAAGGGGCGGGCGCAACCCGCGGACGGCACAUGAUACUGGGAGACUAGAGUAAUGGAGGGGGAACCGGAAUUCGCGGUGUAGCAGUGAAAUGCGUAGAUAUCGAGAAGAACACUCGUGGCGAAGGCGGGUUCCUGGACAUUAACUGACGCUGAGGCACGAAGGCCAGGGGAGCGAAAGGGAUUAGAUACCCGUGUAGUC
RNAcentral lists this ribosomal RNA (446 nucleotides) under uncultured bacterium. RNAcentral's name for it is "partial 16S ribosomal RNA". It matches the Rfam family "Bacterial small subunit ribosomal RNA", at positions 338 to 795 of the family's 1533-position model. The record is from RNAcentral.